AGGCUUUAAGAUCCGGUUGUGGU
Molecule: non-coding RNA, 23 nt
Filed under: Arabidopsis thaliana (thale cress)
Lineage: Eukaryota; Viridiplantae; Streptophyta; Magnoliopsida; Brassicales; Brassicaceae
Source: RNAcentral